CCUACGGGAGGCAGCAGUAGGGAAUUUUGCGCAAUGGGCGAAACCCUGACGCAGCAACGCCGCGUGAGUGAUGAAGCUCUUCGGAGUGUAAAGAUCUGUCAGUGGGGAAGAACAUUCACGGUCCCCACCGACGAUGCAUCGGCUAACCCCGGGCCAGCAGCCUCGGUAAUACGGGGGCUGGCAGCGUUGUCCGGAAGCAUUGGGCGUAAAGAGUUCGUAGGUGGCACGUUAAGUCUGGGGGUAAAUGCACGGGCUCAACCUCUGUUCGGCACUGGAUACUGGCGAGCGUGAUUGCGGUAGAGGUAAGGGGAAUGCCAGGUGUAGCGGUGAAAUGCGUAGAUAUCAGGAGGAACAUCGGUGGCGUAAGCGAUUAACUGGGACGUAAUUGACACUGAGGAACGAAAGCCAGGGUAGCAAACAGGAUUAGAUACCCCAGUAGUC
This 441-nucleotide ribosomal RNA is filed under the name uncultured bacterium. RNAcentral describes it as "partial 16S ribosomal RNA". It matches the Rfam family "Bacterial small subunit ribosomal RNA", at positions 338 to 795 of the family's 1533-position model. The record is from RNAcentral.